ACUCCUACGGGAGGCAGCAGUGGGAAUAUUGCACAAUGGGCGCAAGCCUGAUGCAGCCAUGCCGCGUGAUGUAGGCAAGAAGGGCCUUCGGGUUGAUGAAAGCACUUUCAGUUGUGAGGAAGGUGGUGUCGUUAAUAGCGGCAUCAUUUGACGUUAGCAACAGAAGAAGCACCGGCUAACUCCGUGCCAGCAGCCGCGGUAAUACGGAGGGUGCGAGCGUUAAUCGGAAUUACUGGGCGUAAAGCGCAUGCAGGUGGUUUGUUAAGUCAGAUGUGAAAGCCC
Molecule: ribosomal RNA, 282 nt
Filed under: uncultured bacterium
Lineage: Bacteria
Description: partial 16S ribosomal RNA
Rfam family: Bacterial small subunit ribosomal RNA
Source: RNAcentral